This 1789-nucleotide unclassified non-coding RNA is filed under the name Melitaea cinxia (Glanville fritillary). RNAcentral describes it as "misc RNA ENSMCXG00005010725.1". Lineage: Eukaryota; Metazoa; Arthropoda; Insecta; Lepidoptera; Nymphalidae. The record is from RNAcentral.
CACAAUGAAUAAUCUGUUAUUUGUUACAUGGACAUGGAAUUACGUUAUUUGUGGUUCUAGCUAGUCUGCAGUAAGACGUGCAUAGUGUUCGACGGAAUAUUCUCAGAUGUAUAAAAUGAAGUUUAUUUGUCUAUUAAUUGUUUAUUUUAUUUUAACAAGUAUAGUGACAAAAGGAUUUCCGAACAACGAUAUAAUUGUGUUUAGUGAUGAUGACUCUGUGAGCCCUAGAAAGAAUCAAAAGUUGAUCCAAAAUGAUAAUGGUCAAGUUACUCUUGAAUAUAAAUCAUUUUUUAAUUUCCCAAAAAAAUGUCCGGUAAAGCAUGUAAAGGUCGGCACGUUUUGUUUUCCUGAGUAGCGAUAACAAAAGAGGUUAAAGUGAUAACCAUAUUCCGUGUUUUUGAACUCAAAGAUAAUGUAUUUGAACAAAGCAAUUUAACGCCAGUACGAAAACAAAAAUUAAAUAUGAAAAAGGCAUCAUAUAUCUUUAAAUUAUAAACACAUAAAGGAAAUAUCAAAAUAGUACAAAGGAAUGGAUUAGUAGAUGUCAGCAACGUGUGAAAGUACAAAACCUGAAAUUUAGCUCUAUACUCAAUGUCCCAACUUGUAGUGUGCUUCAAAUACCAUAUUUGAUCGGUUAUCGAAAAUCUAAAUUCAACAGAAAGCGUAUAAAAAACUACAAACAUUAAAGAUUGAUUUACAGGAAAUUCGAUCAUCAAGAAGUUAGCAAGAUUUACCCAAACAGCCUUUCUUAAAAUAAACGUCACCCUAUUAAUAAUCAAAUUAUUGUGAUUUAAUUACUUUGUGGCACGAAUUAAGACGAAAGGGUCUUUGGUAUUUGAAUAAAAUGUUCCUGUCUUGCUGUAAGCCGUCGCUGCGCCCCGAGCCAAGAAAGGGACAACUGCACCUCGGACCGUUUUAGGUAGACAAUUAUUGACCAAAACAGCAGUCGGCUGUUCCAAAACAUAGCGAUUUUUUUUAAAUUUUCUUUUAUGUAACUAAGAAAACCUUCAGCUAUGCCCCUAUGUUCUGAUUUUUUUUGUAAAUAUCCGCAUUUUUUAUGAGUGUUUCAAAAUGAUAUUAAAAAAUUUGACAAUAUUUCUAGUUUUUGAAGACUCCUACUCCCUAUGAUAAUAAUAUUAUGAAAAAAACCAAGUCACAUGGGCAUGGUCAUGGCAGUAAAGGUUUUAUGUUGGAAAAAUAUCUGAUCUAGGGUCACUAUCCAGGGAGGAAACAGUCGACUACGUUUGUAUGGAGAAAGAGCCGGUAUCCUUUAGUCUUAAACACGAAAAUUUAUUGUUGUGUUUAAUUCGUGGUUAAUUUUCAAUUUCUACUAUUAUUUACAAUCUCCUUAUUAGAUUGUAUAACAUAUACCAAGUCAAAGUACUUGUUCUCUAAAUAAUCAGUAUAUUGGGUAUUUAUCAGUAAAACUAAGUAUUUUAUAUUAAUGUAGUUUUUUUUUCACAUAUUUAUUCAUUAAUGAUAUGAAAUUGAUUAUUUUAGUUUUAUACAGGAGAAAUUUACUUAAGUAAAAUGCAGGUGUAUAGUGAUAUUAAUUUGUAUUGUUAUUCCUAAACAAAUCUAUGUAUAUUAUAUUUUUAUUAUCGAAUAUUGUACAGAUUCGUUAACAAAUGUAACACAUACAUUAUAUGUAAAUAAAGUGUUUAUAUGUAAUAAAGCUGAAUAUUUUAUUUGUCGUUAUUCGAUACGAAAAAACUAUAUUACUUUAUGCAAGCCAUAGUAUUACACUUAUCUAUAAUAUGUAAGUACUAUUUAUAACUAUACUGUUAAA